RNAcentral lists this ribosomal RNA (253 nucleotides) under uncultured bacterium. RNAcentral describes it as "partial 16S ribosomal RNA". It matches the Rfam family "Bacterial small subunit ribosomal RNA", at positions 524 to 776 of the family's 1533-position model. The record is from RNAcentral.
UACGUAGGGCGCAAGCGUUGUCCGGAAUUAUUGGGCGUAAAGAGCUCGUAGGCGGUUUGUCGCGUCUGUCGUGAAAGCUUGGGGCUUAACCCCAAGUCUGCGGUGGAUACGGGCAGACUAGAGGCAGGUAGGGGAGAACGGAAUUCCUGGUGUAGCGGUGAAAUGCGCAGAUAUCAGGAGGAACACCGGUGGCGAAGGCGGGACUCUGGGCCGAUACUGACGCUGAGGAGCGAAAGCGUGGGGAGCAAACAGG